Molecule: ribosomal RNA, 322 nt
Filed under: uncultured eukaryote
Lineage: Eukaryota
Description: partial 18S ribosomal RNA
Rfam family: Eukaryotic small subunit ribosomal RNA
Source: RNAcentral
CCCUUAGAUGUUCUGGGCCGCACGCGUGCUACACUGAGUGGAUCAGCGGGUCAGGUUGCGCGAAAGUGUUUCCUAAUCUUUAAAUCCGCUCGUGAUGGGGAUUGACGGUUGCAAUUUUCCGUCAUGAACGAGGAAUACCUUGUAAGCGCGGGUCAUCAUCCCGCGCUGAAUACGUCCCUGCCCUUUGUACACACCGCCCGUCGCUCCUACCGAUUGAGUGGUCCGGUGAGGCUUUGGGAUCUGAGCGGAAAGAGCGUUUCGCUGUUUCUGCCCGGAAAACUCAGUCGAACCUUAUCAUUUAGGGGAAGGAGAAGUCGUAACA